Molecule: transfer RNA, 111 nt
Filed under: Candidatus Methanomassiliicoccus intestinalis Issoire-Mx1
Lineage: Archaea; Methanobacteriati; Thermoplasmatota; Thermoplasmata; Methanomassiliicoccales; Methanomassiliicoccaceae
Rfam family: tRNA
About the family: Transfer RNA (tRNA) molecules are approximately 80 nucleotides in length. Their secondary structure includes four short double-helical elements and three loops (D, anti-codon, and T loops).
Source: Rfam by way of RNAcentral
CCCGACUUAGCUCAGUCUGGCUAGAGCGGCUGACUGUAGUGGGUUCCCGGUACUUCCGGUUCCUCAGCCGCUGAUAUCAGCAGGUCCCCGGUUCAAAUCCGGGAGUCGGGA